UUGUGAUCUUUUGGCGUUGGAAUCAUUGAAAAAUAUUGAAUGUGGAAUUUUUAAUGAAUUGUCGAACACUGACUGCUCUCUGGGAUAGUUUUGGUCCGUUGAUUCUCUUUUGUCUGUUUUGACUCUCAAUCACUUCUAACACUUUUUAAACAUCGUUAAACCAUCCCUAAGCUUGAUUACUUGAGUUCCUAUGAGUUAAUGAUCAUUCAAAUUCCUUCGAUACCCAUUAAGCAUAAUCUUAGUGUUGUUCUAAAUGGAAUAUGUGAUUUAAGGUUGUUUAGGAGUACCGAAGGCUAAGUGAGACAUUGUGGGAAGUAUAGUUGGCAGACGUGAGCUUUUCUAGUGAUCCGAGUGGUAGCAUAGUGAUCCGUGUCCGCAUGAUUCACUUAUCCUUCAAACUCUAUUGGUGCUCGUUCCACGAGAUCAAAGUAAUCAAUAUUAGUAAGUAGUAUGUUGUAGAGUCGCUAUGGAGUCGGUACGAUAUUGUGUUGUACUAAGAGAGAAAGGCGUGUACUGAUUUGUUAGUCAAUGUUCUAUUAUGAUUGAUCGUUUGGAAUACUUUGAAAUGUGAUUGUCGAUGCGUGUUUGACCUAUAAAUCAGUUUGAUUGACGUGCCUUAUUGUGUCAUGAGAUUAGAGAAGUGUUUGUUGGAUGAGUUGUAUGAUUGUUGGGAUUUGAAUGGUUGCAAUUGAGAAUUUGAACGAGGAAGUGACUGCAACGCAAGGGGUGGAAAUGCAGACUGCAACACAAGGGGUGGAAAUGCAGACUGCAACGCAAGGGGUGGAAAUGCAGACUGCAACGCAAGGGGUGGAAAUGCAGACUGCAACGCAAGGGAUGGAAAUGCAGAGUGGUUGAGAUUAUGAGAAGUGUCGAAAUGGUUGCGAACCUAUUGUGAGUACGUUUGAUUGAUGUGAUUUUAAUAAUAUUUCUACAUGACAUGUGAACGGCUAGGAAUACUUACAAGUUGUUUGGAACUCUUUGGCCGUAGUCUGUCUUUCGUUGUGAUAAACUCGUGUUUCUCAUGUUCACUUAUCGAAUUCUUUCACUCUUUGUGCAUACUUCAUCGCAUUUUCAUAUAGCUUGAGUAUAGAUUUCUCUACUGGGCUAGUGUAGCUCAACCUACCAUUUUCAGGUACACUACAUGGACACAGUCUUGGAGGGUGUGAAGUGCAUGCUGACAUCGCAGGCUAAAGUUAUUUUCUGAAGAACUUGUCUUUCCCUUGUAAAUCAAACUGUAUUGUACUAUUUUCUCUAAUUUGGAAUACUGUAUCAAUUGACAAAAUUGUGAGAUUUAGAAACUGUAUGUUGUAAUUUGGGGUACCGUAUGUACUAUUGUGAGGAUUUGUAUUUAAAAUGGUAUUGUUAUUUAUGUUAAAAAUCGAGGGCGUGACAAUUUUGCCCUUGUUCAAAAA
Molecule: long non-coding RNA, 1412 nt
Organism: Rhododendron vialii
Lineage: Eukaryota; Viridiplantae; Streptophyta; Magnoliopsida; Ericales; Ericaceae
Exons: 2
Source: RefSeq, a predicted model, not a curated record